RNAcentral lists this long non-coding RNA (5658 nucleotides) under Olea europaea subsp. europaea. Lineage: Eukaryota; Viridiplantae; Streptophyta; Magnoliopsida; Lamiales; Oleaceae. The record is from RNAcentral.
AGCGAACAUGUGAUUCACUGGUCCAGGUGUGCACCGUAAUGUUCUUGAUUUUAUUGUGAGGUUAAAUAUAGCAAUAGACGCCUCACGCAAUUACCUAUCUCCACAUGUACACAGGUAUGAAUUUUGAUAGUAGCCACGUUAAUUAGGUUCUUAGGAAAUUUAGCUUCAGUAAUUGAUUUGCUCUGUAUGCAGAUCAUCCUAUCAUCCAUAGAGAUAUCAAGUCUUCCAACAUUCUCCUUACAAAGAAUCUAGGAGCUAAAGUUGCCGACUUUGGUUUGGCUCUGCUAGCAGCUGACGGUGAAUCGGGAGAGACACAUGUAUUGACCCAAGUUAAAGGAACUGUUGGCUUUGUAGACCCAGAAUACAUAAAUACCUCACUAGUUUCGGAAAAGAGUGAUGUUUAUGUUGGAAAAAAAACUGAGUUAUGGGCCGACUUUGGCACGAGUUUUGAGUGGGACCUGGUUGUUCAAUUUGGAAGAUGAAAGUUGAUUUGUGUUCUCCUCCGUGAGUACAUCGAAAUCAUAUACUUACUUACCAAAGAUGAUGCUCGAGUGAGUGAGAAAUUGAGGCUCAAAGUGUGCCACUCAAAAGAGAGUUCAUGUGGGAAAAAUGAAUUUGUCCCACAUAGGAAAAAGAUGAGAAACUCCAAAGGUCAUUGCCAUUAAUGGUAGCCUAGCCUAUAAAUAGUGACUCAUUUUCCUCAUUUCAAUACACCAACGCAAAAGCUUUCAAGUUUAGAAUACAUUAAAAAUUCAUUUGCAUAGAGUUCUGUCUUUUCUGUAUUUCUGUCUUGGUGGUAGUGUAGUUCAGGCACUAGUUCAGUAAACCGGAGUGGUUUCUAUGGUGCUCGAAAGCUACUGGUUUUACCAUCGUAUCCUGAGAAACGGAUGCUCAUUUUAAACCUCAAGCACGGACGGGGAGGGGGCGAAUCUGUUUUAAGGAAACUGUGUGUAACACAGGCCUCGGUUUGAAAUUUCAUUUCCUGCAAUUUCAAUUGUUCAUUCUGUUAUUAUCCAAUUAGUUGUACGACUAUAACUUGCUGUUACAUAUAUCAUCUUACCGGACAAAAGGCAUAUACGGUAUUAAAAUCGAGAAUACCGGAUUCCUUAUUUUUCAUAAACUUAUCGGAUUUCAGAAAAGUUCGGUCGACCGAACUGGUGAAACUUAGGAUUUUUCCUACAAGCUUAAAACAGAUUCUCAGAAAGGAAAAAUUGGUUUCCUAUAUUGAUUAAUUCUGAACUGAUUAGUUUCUUAUAUUUGUUAUAUUGUGAAAACUAAUUUGUUGUUUGGUUCUUUCAGAAGACGAAAUGGCAAUCGGUUCCACCAACAUGGAUUCCAACAUGAAUGUGUCCCAAGCUGUAGGUACCCAAACUCAGGCUGUGGGUUUCUACUAUGGGUGCAGGGCCUAGUUCGGCUAUGGCUGCAGGGCCUAGCUCAGUUAUGGCUCAGAUUGUGGCUCAAGUGCCAAGUCGUGUUGUGAGCCAACAUGUGGCUAAUGUUCCGAUUAAUGUACCGGUUGACCAUGGGGAAAAGCCGAAAAAAUUCAAUGGCUUGAAUUUCAAGAGGUGGCAGCAGAAAAUGCUGUUCUAUCUGACCACCUUGAAUCUUGCGAGAUUCUUGAUUGAAAGUGCUCCAAAACUCCAAGAGUGUGAGGUGGAUGUUCAAGCAAUCAGUGCUGUUGAUGCUUGGAACCACUCGAACUUCUUAUGCUGGAAUUACGUCAUGAACAGUUUGGGAGAUUCGCUAUACAACGUGUAUAUCACCACGAAAAUUGCUAAGGAGUUGUGGGAGUCUUUGGACUGAAAAUAUAAGACCGAGGAUGUCGGGGCUAAGAAAUUUAUCGUCGACCGAUUCUUGGACUAUAAGAUGGUGGACUCUAAAACUGUAAUCAGUCAAGUGUAAGAACUCCAAGUGAUUCUUCACGAAAUUCAUGCCGAAGGGAUGAUUCUGAGUGAAACUUUCCAAUUGGCUGCAAUCAUUGAAAAAUUGCCUCCCGCGUGGAAAGAUUUCAAGAAUUAUUUGAAACACAAGCGAAAGGAAAUGAACAUUGAAAAACUAAUUGUUAGACUUCGAAUUGAAGAAGACAACAAGAGUUCCAAAAAGAAAUGAUUCAAUCCUGGUGCGGCUAAGGCCAAUAUUGUUGAACAUGGUUAAGGUAGUAAGAACUAUAAAACAAAGCUGGGCCAUCCGGUGGAAAAGGGAUCAAGCUGAGACCAAAAGGAGGCAUUCCUAAGAAGAAAUCUUAAGGGAAGUGCUUCAAUUGUGACAAAGUAGGCCACAAAUCUUUGGAGUGCAGAUUGUCAAAGAAGAAGAAAGAAGCAAAUGUGGUUGACUACAUGGCACAUGAUGUGUCGGAGAUGAGUCUCGCAGCAGUCAUUUCUAAAGUGAACAUGGUGGGUUCUAACCCAAAAAAAUGGUGGAUUGACACCGGAGCUACGAGACAUGUGUGCUUUGAUAAAGAGUUAUUUACUGCUUUUGAAGCAGUUGAGAAUGGAGAGAAGUUGUUCAUGGGAAAUUCAGUAACUUCUGAAAUCAAGGACCAAGGAAAAGUGGUUCUGAAGAUGACUUCGUGAAAAGAGCUGACUCUCAACAACGUGCUGUAUGUGCCGAAAAUCCGCAAGAACAUUGUGUCUAGGUUGCUUUUGAAUAAGCAUGGUUUUCGCAUUGUGUUUGAGUCAGACAAGGUCAUCUUGUCGAAAAGUGGAAUGUUUAUCGGAAAAUGUUAUGUUUCCGAUGGAAUGUUUAAACUCAAUGUAAUGGUUGUUAAACCAAAAAUGAAUAAUAAAGUGAAUGCUUCUAUUUACUUGCUUGAGUCUUCCAAUGUGUGGCAUGGUAGGCUAGGACACGUUAACUAUGAUACUUUACUUAGGCUAGUUAACUUGAAAUGCAUAACAGCAUUCCAUGUUGAUUCCAAACAUAAGUGUGAGACUUGUGUUGAAGCAAAAUUGACUAGGUCGUCCUUUAAGUCAAUUGAACGAAAUAUGGAAUCACUUGAUUUAAUUCACAGUGAUAUAUGUGAUUUAAAAUUUGUACAAACAAGAGGUGGCAACAAGUAUUUCAUUACUUUUGUCGACAAUAGCACGAAAUGCUGCUAUGUGUAUUUGCUAAAAAGUAAGGAUGAAGCGAUAGAGAAAUUUGUUCUCUAUAAGAAUGAAGUUGAAAAUCAACUUAACAAGAAAAUUAAGGUGUUAAGAAGCGAUCGAGGUGGUGAGUAUGAAGCACCGUUUGCUGAAUUAUGUGCACAACACGGAAUCAUAUAUGAAAUUACAGCACCGUAUUCACCACAACAAAAUGGUGUUGCUAAAAGGAAAAAUUGCACCUUAAAGGAGAUGAUGAAUACGAUGCUAGUAAGUUCUGGAUUACCUCAGAAUAUGUGGGGAGAUGCUGUGUUAUCAGCAAAUUACCUUUUGAAUAAGGUGCCCUGAAAGAAAAUGGAGAAGACCCCUUAUGAGUUAUGGAAAGGAAGAACGCCUUCCUAUAAAUACUUACGAGUGUGGGGGUGUCUUGCUAAAGUGGCUGUUCCAACACCAAAGAAGGUGAAGAUAGGCCCAAAAACUAUAGACUGCAUAUUCAUUAGAUAUACACAGAAACAGUUGUGCUUAUCGAUUUCUCGUGUAUGAAUCUAAAAUUCAAGAUAUACACAGAAACACGAUAAUGGAGUUGAGAAACGCUUCGUUCUUUGAACAUGUGUUUCCAUGCAGGUCCAAAGAAGAGGCAAGUUCUUCUAAACGGACGUACGAGACUAUGAUUGAACAUAGUCAGUACGAAGAACCAGAAGAGGAGGUUGAGAUUGAACCUAGACGUAGCAAAAGGGAAAGGACAGAAAAAUCUUAUGGUCCGAAUUUUCUGACCUAUAUGCUAGAAAGUGAACCUCAAAGCUAUCAAGAGGCUGUGAACUCCUUGAAAGGACCUCAAUUGAAAGAGGCCAUUAAAAGUGAAAUAGAUUCUAUCCUGCAAGAUCAUACAUGAGAGCUAGUGGAUCUUCCACCAGGAAGUAAACCACUAGGCUACAAGUGGAUUUUCAAACGAAAAAUGAAAGUAGAUAGAACUAUUGAAAUGUAUAAGGCCAGGUUGGUAAUAAAAGGUUACCGACAAUGGGAAGGCCUUGAUUACUUUGAUACAUAUUCUCCGGUAACGAGAGUAACAUCCAUUAGAAUGAUACUUGUGAUUGCUGCUUUGCGAAAUCUUGAAGUACAUCAAAUGGAUGUUAAGACUACCUUCUUGAACAGAGACUUAGAUGAAAAAAUCUAUAUGGAACAACCUGAAGGGUUUUUGUCGCUAGGGCAGGAAAAGAAGGUGUGUAAAUUGGUGAAGUCAUUGUAUGGCUUGAAACAAGCAUCAAAACAAUGGCAUGAGAGAUUUGGCAAUGUCAUGAUGUAGAGUGGAUUUAAGAUCAACGAGUGUGAUAAAUGUGUUUACGUUAAAGACACUGAAAAUGGCUAUGACAUUUUAUGUCUUUACGUUGAUGACAUGCUAAAUAACGGACGUUGAGGGGGCGAAUUUGUUUUAAGGAAACUAGGUGUAACACAGUCCUCGGUUUGAGAUUUCAUUUCCUGCAAUUUCAAUUGUUCAUUCUGUUAUUAUCCAAUUAGUUGUAUGACUGUAACUUGCUGUUAUAUAUAUCAUCUUACCAGACAAAAGGCAUAUACGGUAUUGAAAUCGAGAAUACCAGAUUCCUCAUUUUUCAUAAACUUACUGGAUUUCAGAAAAGUUUGGUCGACCGAACUGGUGAAACUCGGGAUUUUCCCUACAUUUAUUCAUUCGGUGUAUUACUAUUGGAACUAGUCACAGACAAGCUUUCGAUUGAGCUAAAACGUGGUCAGGAGGAACAUAUUACUGUUAGAUGGGUAUGACCCUCUCUCUAAUGAGCAAAAUUGUAGUGAAUGAUUUCAAAAUUGAACACACCCCAUGAAGUGGGGGAUGAAUUCUUAUUUUUAUUAAUAUGUCCUCAAUUUUCAUAUAUAGAUAGUGGCGAGACAUAAUAAAUCUGCCUGCUCUAAUACUACAUUGAAUUACUUCAUCUAAAGGCUUAAGUUAUUUGUUUAGAUUUAGUCUUCAACAUCUAAUUGGACGAUUUCUUGAACAAGGACAUGUGCCUCCACUAAUUUUAGAGGGGACAAAAUAGAAUAUUGGUUUAUGUUUUCUCUGGUUGAUUUGAAUUGACUCAAGUGCAGGUUGCGAAGAAGUUUCUUGAUGGAGAUGCAAUCUUAACUUUGGAUCCUAGGCUACAGAGGUCUCCUGCAAAUAACUUUAUAGGGGAAAAGAUUCUUGAAGUAGCCUUGCAAUGUUUGGCUCCUCAUUAACAUGACCGGCCUACCAUGAAGAAGUGUACGAAGAUUCUGUGGAGUAUUUGCAAGAAUUAUGAUGAAUUCUCAACUUCAGAUAUCCCUUCGCUUUCUUCAAAUGCUCGGGGAAGUAGCUCAAUCAGAGAAGAAUAAGCAAUUCGGUGCAAGUAUUUUCAUUCACGUUACUUGCUUCCAUUGAAAAUACAGAAAGAGUACUGAAGAUGGUAAACAAGCAUACAAUGUCGUAGUGGGAAGCGAAGAAAAGAGAGAACUUGAAGGGUGUUUGGCCAAUUGUAAAGAUGUUGAAGUGAUAUUUAGUUCAUGAUGUUUGUCUUUGUUCACGAAAUUAUUUCCUUUCGAUUUAAAACUACCG